GAUGAACGCUGGCGGCGUGCCUAAUACAUGCAAGUCGAGCGAACAGACGAGGAGCUUGCUCCUUUGACGUUAGCGGCGGACGGGUGAGUAACACGUGGGUAACCUACCUAUAAGACUGGGAUAACUUCGGGAAACCGGAGCUAAUACCGGAUAAUAUUUCGAACCGCAUGGUUCGAUAGUUAAAGAUGGCUUUGCUAUCACUUAUAGAUGUACCUGCGCCGUAUUAGCUAGUUGGUAAGGUAACGGCUUACCAAGGCAACGAUACGUAGCCGACCUGAGAGGGGGAUCGGCAACACUGGAACUGAGAAACGGACCAGACACCUACGGGAGGCAGCAGUAGGGAAUCUUCCGAAAUGGGCGAAAGCAUGACGGAGCAAAGCCGCGUGAGUGAUGAAGGUCUUCGGAUCGUAAAACUCUGUUAUGAGGGAAGAACAAACGUGUAAGUAACUGUGCACGUAUUGACGGUACCUAAUCAGAAAGCAACGGCUAACUACGUG
Molecule: ribosomal RNA, 497 nt
Filed under: uncultured bacterium
Lineage: Bacteria
Description: partial 16S ribosomal RNA
Rfam family: Bacterial small subunit ribosomal RNA
Source: RNAcentral